GCUCUAUGAGCUCAGUUGGUAGAGCGUGUCUCUCUUAAUCUCAGGGUCGUGGGUUCAGGCCACACAUUGGGCU
This is a non-coding RNA of Podarcis lilfordi (Lilford's wall lizard), 73 nucleotides long. The record is from the annotation of a GenBank genome assembly. NCBI's taxonomy places the organism in Eukaryota, Metazoa, Chordata, Lepidosauria, Squamata, Lacertidae.